CAAAAACAUCGCCUCCCGCAAAACAUCAAAGUAUAGGAGGUCUUACCUGCCCAGUGACGAAGAGUUUAACGGCCGCGGUAUUUUGACCGUGCUAAGGUAGCGCAAUCACUUGUCUUUUAAAUGAAGACCUGUAUGAAUGGUUUAACGAGGGCUUAACUGUCUCCCGUUUCUAGUCAAUGAAAUUGAUCUGCCCGUGCAGAAGCGGGCAUAAAUAUACAAGACGAGAAGACCCUUUGGAGCUUAAGAUAAAAAGUCAACUGUAUACAAACCUUCCCGCUAAGACUAGGUAAAACAAAACAUAAAACUGACCCACAUCUUCGGUUGGGGCGACCACGGGGGAAAACGAAGCCCCCGCAUGGAAUGGGAUGAUCCUAAAACCAAGAGGGACACCUCUAAGUCACAGAACAUCUGACCAAAUAGAUCCGGCAAUCAGCCGAUCAACGGACCAAGUUACCCUAGGGAUAACAGCGCAAUCCUCUUCAAGAGUCCAUAUCGACAAGAGGGUUUACGACCUCGAUGUUGGAUCAGGACAUCCUAAUGGUGCAGCCGCUAUUAAGGGUUCGUUUGUUCAACGAUUAAAGUCCUACGUGAUCUGA
RNAcentral lists this ribosomal RNA (596 nucleotides) under Hoplocharax goethei. Its description in RNAcentral is "partial 16S large subunit ribosomal RNA". It matches the Rfam family "Bacterial large subunit ribosomal RNA", at positions 1808 to 2608 of the family's 2925-position model. Lineage: Eukaryota; Metazoa; Chordata; Actinopteri; Characiformes; Characidae. The record is from RNAcentral.